AUGACAAAAAACUAUCACUUUCGAAAAAUGACCAGUUUAGAAGAUUUAAACACAUUUAUGACAAGUGGGGCCCACCCGUCAGGGCUGGCGUGGCAAGAAAGGGGAGGGCAACAGCGGAGCAACGCGGCCGUGGUCAACAGGGCCGCGCACCGCGCCACGCUGCAGGUGGGGGCGGCGCCGGAGACGUCCAGGUGGGGGCGUGGAGCUGUGCGCCGGCGCCGAACGGACGGGAGCAUAGCCGACAGAACAUCCCGGCGGAGAAACAGGAUGAGGAUCCCUUCCGGCAAGCGCAGAUCGUUGAGGGCGGGGUUCGGUACCAGCAGGAUCGCCCCCUCCGCCAUCGCCGGCCUGUCCGCCGCCACCUCCAGGAUCGCCUCCCGCGGCCGCGGCGGCGACGCCGCCGCGGCGCGCGCCGUGUUCGACGCAAUGCCCCGCCGCGAUGCCGUCGCGUGGAACGCCAUGCUCACCGCCUACGCCCGCGCCAGCUAG
RNAcentral lists this ribosomal RNA (489 nucleotides) under Triticum aestivum (bread wheat). RNAcentral's name for it is "partial small subunit ribosomal RNA". Lineage: Eukaryota; Viridiplantae; Streptophyta; Magnoliopsida; Poales; Poaceae. The record is from RNAcentral.